UCUACGGGUGGCAGCAGUGGGGAAUAUUGGACAAUGGGGGGAACCCUGAUCCAGCCAUGCCGCGUGUGUGAAGAAGGCCCUCGGGUUGUAAAGCACUUUCAGUGAGGAAGAACGCCUGGUGGUUAAUACCCAUCAGGAAAGACAUCACUCACAGAAGAAGCACCGGCUAACUCCGUGCCAGCAGCCGCGGUAAUACGGAGGGUGCGAGCGUUAAUCGGAAUUACUGGGCGUAAAGCGCGCGUAGGUGGCUUGAUAAGCCGGUUGUGAAAGCCCCGGGCUCAACCUGGGAACGGCAUCCGGAACUGUCAAGCUAGAGUGCAGGAGAGGAAGGUAGAAUUCCCGGUGUAGCGGUGAAAUGCGUAGAGAUCGGGAGGAAUACCAGUGGCGAAGGCGGCCUUCUGGACUGACACUGACACUGAGGUGCGAAAGCGUGGGUAGCAAACAGGAUUAGAUACCCUGGUAGUC
This 465-nucleotide ribosomal RNA is filed under the name Vreelandella stevensii. Its description in RNAcentral is "partial 16S ribosomal RNA". It matches the Rfam family "Bacterial small subunit ribosomal RNA", at positions 338 to 795 of the family's 1533-position model. The record is from RNAcentral. Lineage: Bacteria; Pseudomonadati; Pseudomonadota; Gammaproteobacteria; Oceanospirillales; Halomonadaceae.